UACGUAGGGGGCAAGCGUUGUCCGGAAUCAUUGGGCGUAAAGAGCGUGUAGGCGGCCCGAUAAGUCCGCCGUGAAAGUCCAGGGCUCAACCCUGGAAUGCCGGUGGAAACUGUCGGGCUGGAGUCCGGAAGAGGCGAGUGGAAUUCCUGGUGUAGCGGUGAAAUGCGCAGAUAUCAGGAGGAACACCAAUGGCGAAGGCGGCGACCUGGGUCGAUACUGACGCUGAGGUGCGAAAGCGUGGGGAGCAAACAGG
RNAcentral lists this ribosomal RNA (253 nucleotides) under uncultured bacterium. RNAcentral describes it as "partial 16S ribosomal RNA". It matches the Rfam family "Bacterial small subunit ribosomal RNA", at positions 524 to 776 of the family's 1533-position model. The record is from RNAcentral.